RNAcentral lists this unclassified non-coding RNA (616 nucleotides) under Zea mays. RNAcentral describes it as "misc RNA Zm00001eb093100". The record is from RNAcentral. Lineage: Eukaryota; Viridiplantae; Streptophyta; Magnoliopsida; Poales; Poaceae.
CCAUCCGCCAUGGCAUCCAACAACUCCAUUGCUUAUCCUUCGCUCCUGUUCCUGGCCAUGGAACUCGCUUUAACUGUUCCAGUGCAUGGCCAAUCUCCGAGUGCUGCUCCAACAGUCCCGGCGGCACCAUCCCAAAACCGUUGCCCCCCUGGCUUCCCUGACCUGAUCUCCUUGAUUGAAGGCAUGAAGAUGUAUUUUGAGCAGGCCAACAGCAGCAGCGAAUGCCUGUACCUCCCCUCUACUAGUAUUCCCGGCAUCAAUGGUCCCUACAAAUCCGUUCCAGCGUCAACGCCUGGUUUCCCUGACCACCCAAUCUCUCUCAAAAGUGAAGGCGCUAUGAAGGUGUGCGCUACUUACGACCCCAAUCCCGGUUCAUCAACACCGACGACGCCGGCACAAUUCUGUCUUGGAAUGCUAUUUGACCUGGCAUAAGUCAUAUAUAUACUUUUUGGAACGAAGGCAAAAGUACUCUGGAUAAGUCACGCCCGUUAAAUUAAAUAUAUUUAUGUACAUGUAAUAAUGCGUGACAUGUCGUUGGUGUUUGUUUGUACCUGUGUUGGUCUCAGAAUAUCAAUAGACUACCAUAUACUUAUUAUACUGGAAAAGUAUAUUAAUG